GUCUUGGACUUUCCUAUCGCCAACAUGCCUCUGUAUUCGGAUAUCUCAGGCACGGAGACUGGGAAAUGCACAGACUGCGCCAAACUGAAACAGACAUUGGCUUUAAUUGAAACGAGACUAGCAGCAGUAGAAAAAUGCAAAGGACUAUCACAGGAUACAGUGCCGAUGGGUGAGUUUGCUGAGCUCACUCAGAUACAGCAAGAUGAUCAAAGCUACACUGUAUCCUUCCCGAAGCUGGACAUGAGAGAGACAGUUCCAGCUGCGUCUCACUGGAACAGAGUCGGCGCUAAGCCAAAGCAACAUACCAAAGUAAAUCAACAAGUUCACUCAACACCAAAUGCUAAGCUACCCAAAGCUAAAGUUAUCAGCCGGAUUAGCCCGUCACUCAAAUCAACCCUGCCACUGAAGAACCGGUUCCUGCCACUUCAAGAGUCCACGAACGCGCCUGCCACCGAUGCACCCCUGAGCCCCGAGAUGCGUCCGGACGGACAGUGCGGACAGAGACGGAACAACCAGUCGCCACGGAGGCGGGCUGCGCAUGUGUCUGCCACCGUCCAACAAGGGCCCAUCUCAGAGAAAGCAGAUGAACCAGACACUCUGAUUAUAGGAGACUCAACUAUCAAGGAUAUAACCGAUAGCAGACAGCCCACAGACCUUGAAGAGAGACAACAGCCCGCCCGACGCCAUCAACACUGUGCCCUCCCCCAUCGCUGAUGCUGGCUUGGCGAGGAACGGCCACCCCCCUCCUCUGCAUUCCCCCAUCGAUGAUGACCUCCAGCCUCAUCUCUCCCAUAGCCACAACAACAACUCCAGCUCCGAUGUCUCCCUUUGCGAUUUUCCAGCCGAAUUUAAGAAACUGGAACAUGCUGGCAUCAAACUUGCAUCUGUGUCAAUGAUAGCAUCGCCACGUCAUGGCCGCAGGCUGCUAACACUGCUAACACCCAGGAGGACGGCGCCCCACCCCCGCCCCGAUAGUAGUCCUGAGUAUUACUGAGACAAAAAAGGGUUCAGCCGUAGACACAGUAUAAAGGAAGUUUCUCAUAAUCUGCUGAACCCAAGGUUGCCUACGUCAAAGCAGGGCAACUUUCGCAUUCAUGCUGUAACCACUAAGAGAGUAAACAAAGGGAAACUUAGACACACUGCUAACCUCACAAAUCUCAUAUCUAUUGCCUCCAAACCAAAAACAACCUUAAAGCCUAUCAACAGCA
This 1208-nucleotide long non-coding RNA is filed under the name Gadus morhua (Atlantic cod). Its description in RNAcentral is "lncRNA (ENSGMOG00000029258.1)". The record is from RNAcentral. Lineage: Eukaryota; Metazoa; Chordata; Actinopteri; Gadiformes; Gadidae.